This is a long non-coding RNA of Papaver somniferum (opium poppy), 123 nucleotides long. RefSeq lists it as uncharacterized. Lineage: Eukaryota; Viridiplantae; Streptophyta; Magnoliopsida; Ranunculales; Papaveraceae. The record is from RefSeq and is a predicted model, not a curated record. The transcript has 3 exons.
GGCAGUGGGAAUUUUUGGAGGAGAAAACGAGGAGGGAUAAGGAGAUUUGAAGAAGUUGAACAGAGGUCGGUGUGGAUCUUGCUGUGCGAAAAUCCUCAAGGGCUGAAGACUGGUGCUUGUAAC